GGAGGGGAUUCACCGCUCCUCGCCUCCGGAACCGAUCUCCUCAUGCCACCCUUGUUCUCGUCACCCGAUUUGGCAUUAAUUCCUUCCCCCUUCGCAGUGCGAUUUUCUCGCUUCUUGCCUCCCUUUAUACCCCGUCUCACCCACCCGUUCCUAUCCGCCACAGGUGAAGUAUGUCCGAGCAGUGAGAGAGAGCGAGGAGAGAGAGGAAGAGAUUCGAGGCCCUCAGGAAUCCUUCGGUGGUCGACCCAGUUUUCUCUUUCUUCUGAUAUCCCGAUGAAAGCAGUACUAUUUGCUAGUGCUUGUGAGACUCCAUGGGCUGGUUUGCUAUUAACAGGAUUACUGAAUCUGCUGAUUUCAAGGGGAAGAUGGAGGGAGGUCUCUAAAUUCCUGUGAUAUACUAGGGAUUUUCCUUUUUUUUGUUGCUUUCUUGCCAAGCCAUCUAUCAAUGGCGUUACCCAUUGAACCCUGUGGUUCUGCUUUGAAGCGCAAGCAAGCAGAAAGUUCUGGAUUAAGAGAUGGUAAGACUCCCCGUGUCAGUGUAGAACAUGGGCCCUCCUCCCGUUCUAGUGUCUGCAACUGCCACUGCUGCCGUGUGCAGCCCAACCUUGCUGAGACUUGCUUCAACUAUCUCAACAGUGGCUUGCCACGCCGCAUCAUGUUCUACAACUGCGGCGACUGGUCAGACUUUCCAGAACCAGUGAAACAGUCUCUUAUAGAAGGGUUCAAGGAUGAUAAGUCAUCUGUUAUGGUCAUGGUUAAUGGCCAGCAUCUUCUUGUUGAUUUUGUGUCAAUGGUCCUGGUCAACUUGAGAACUAGGAAACAGUGUUCUGUGGCAUGGAUUGAUGAUUCUGACAAAUGCUUCUUUCCUUCCCUUUUUUUUGAUGAUGUGGCUGAAGAGUUCUCUGAGUUGGGUUCAGGCAUCAUGAACAGCAGUUUCCAGAGACCAGUGCUGGUGAGGGCAUUAUGUCCUCCAGCUGAGGUGGUAAAGCGUGUUGUUAUGGAAAAUGCAACUUCAGUUUCACAGCCUUUAACUGCAGAGUCAUUACGCUCAAAGAUUGAAAAUGUGGAAAGGGACAGCGAAAGCUUUCUUUUUGUACAAAACCUCUUUCUCUUAGGAAUGGGUCCUUUUGCUACGCCCCAAAACAUAUUGCAGAUCCAUCGCUAUGCCCCAAAGGAUCUUCCUUCACAGAUUAGAUGUGAGGCCUUUGAGAGACAGAUACGGUCCACUAGAGCACAGCGAGGGGAUGCAAAUGUACGUUAUGGAUGGUUUGGUUCAAAGAAGAUAGACAUAGCUGGAAUUCUGAUUCAUGGUUUUGGCAUGGUGGGGAAGCCUACUGAGGGAGUUUUGGGCACUGGUGUUUAUCUCACACCAGAUAACCGUGCUUUUGCCAGUGUUAAUCUUUGUGAUGUUGACGAAAAAGGUGUACAAUGCAUGCUGUUAUGCCGAGCAAUCUUGGGAAAUAUGGAACAAGUCCGGCCUGGGUCCAGACAGUGCUUUCCCAGUAGUGGGAAUAGCGAUUCGGGUGUAGAUGAUUGUUUGAGUCCAACAUGUCAUGUCGUGUGGUCUAGCCACUUGGGCAAUUAUAUUCAUCCAGAAUAUGUUGUUAGUUUCAAGCUGUCCUCACACAUCCGAGAGUACUUAUUUGGACUGAAGGAUGUACGGUUCCAUGUAGGAGCAACAAAAGUUGUACAAGACUUUUCCUCUCUUCAUCCUGUAAGAUGUGAGCCAACAAGAGGGCCAACUUCACCAUGGAUGCCAUUUACAGUGCUGUUUGCCGAAAUACAAAAUCAUGUGUCUCCAUUAGCAAAGGAGUUACUGCUUCGCCAUUACGAAGAGUUGAAGAAUAAAGCAAUAACUCGAGAAGAGUUAGUGAAGAAGAUGAAAGCAAUUGUUGGAGAACAGCUGCUGAUGAGUACACUGACAAGACUUCAACGCAGUCCAUCCUCAUGGUAUAAUAACUCUACUGCAAAAGAGAAGCCUAUUGAUCCUGAUGAACCAACAUCAGAGGCUAAUGGCUCUGCUACCAUGACAAUGGAGCCAAAUGAAUCCUGUGCACUUAACAUGGUAGCUAUUGAUGGUGCUGCAUCAAACAUGGAACCAAUUGACCGUGUCAACCUAUACAUGGAGCCUCAUUACUCCACUGCACCAGACAUGGCGCCUACUGACUUUGCUGCAGUGAGCAUGGAAGCUAAUCAUUUUGCUGCAAACAUGGCACCUAACAGCUUUGCUGAACCGAACAUGGAAAGUACCAACUUUUCUGCACCUAAAAUGGAGCCUGGUGAUUCUACUGCAUCAGGCACGGCACCUCCUGUCUCUGCUCCACUGCAGAUAGUGGGUAAUGACUCUGAUUCACCUAAUAAGAUGGAGACUGACUCUGCUGCAGAAAAGAUGGUGGCCACUGACUCUGCUGCUCCAAAGAUGGUGGCUACUGACUUUGCUGCAUCGAAGAUGAUACUUACAGGCUCUGCUGCACUGAAGAUGGUGCCUAAUGACUUCGCUUUACUGAAAAUGGUGCCUAAUGAAUCUGCUUCACCAGAGAUAGGGCCAAAUAACAGUGAUGCACCAAGGAUUGCACUUCCUGAAUCUGCUGCAAUGCCAAAUGAUGCUGCUAUGCCAUGUAUGACACCUAAUAAUUCUGCUGCAACAAUAAUGGAGCCUGCUGAAGUUGUUACAGCAUGUUUGGAACCUGAAGACUCUGCUCUACCAAGGAUGGGACCUAAUGAUACUAAAACUCGAUCCAUUGUACAAACAAGCGAAAGCUAGUGGACAGACUCCAGCUCUAAGCCAGGUUAAACCAUCAGAUGCUGGGGGACCCCUGGACACUUGGGGCACUUGUCCCACGCAUCUAGGACAUUGAAGUUGCAUCUAUCUUACAGUGCCUUCAUAUAAUCUAUUGCUCUUUUGCCACUCAAGGUUUGCCGUCUCGGUACAGGACUCCGUAUUGGUACCAUUCUAUUACAAUAUCGAUGCGUGGUUUGGUACAGAACGAGAUAGCGGACUGAGUGUUGGUAUGGUAGGAGACACUGUACCGAUUCGGUAUUAGUAUGGCACUGUACGCCCCAUACUGGGCGGUAUAGAAAACUAUGUUGCUACUCGUUAAAUUUUGCUUGAUUAAGAUAACUUGUUCAAUCAUCACUCAUAUCUACACAACAUCAAUAUGGCUCACAGGUUCCUGUUUUUUUAGUUGGUUUUUAUGUACUGCAUUGAUGAAAUAACUGGUAAUGUCAGAUUAUGAUAUUACAUGGUGCUUUGACUUUCAUCCAAAUAAGAAAGAUAUGCCAGCAAAGGGAAGCCAUGAAUCUCUAAAAGUCUCAGCAAAAUUCAGCAUAUUUCUAGCUCAAGUCAGAAACUUGUGGCACCACCAAGGAACGAAUAUGGACUGCUGUUUGUGCAACCCAACUUUACAUAUGACUUCCAAGUUAAUGAAACAACCAUAAAUCAGCAAAAUGGAGUCUGAUGUACAACAAAAGAACAAAAAGCUAAUAAUGAGCAAUAGAUCCAGAAACCUAUCAGAAUUUGGACUGCUGUCUGCAAAAGAAUUCUAAUACUCUAAACUUUAGAAUACAAAUUGUUACAUAGAUACUGAGUUGGGUCUUUCUCUUAUGUACAUAUCCCUAUAGAGAAUUAUCGUGCUUAAAUUUUUCGUUGAAUAUUUUGAAUGGAAAUAGGUUUUAUGAUAUAGUGCAACCAGACUUCUGUUGCCACAAGACAGCUGAAAUAUAUCAGAAAGAAAAUCUUAACCUGGACUUACUGAAAUUUUUGGUGUUCUGGAUAUAAACACUAUGCAUUGAGACCUAACCACAUCUAAUGAGAUCACACCUGCCCCGGUUGAUUCAGCCGAGGGUGCAAAGGACUGCUGCUUGUUGACGAACUUUAGCUGGUAUCAAUUUUAGAUUUUUUUUUGACCUAAUUGUAGCACCAAUUACUGCCAACAGAUUGCUGUAGUUGCCUUGAGGUUGUUGCAUAAUGGUGUCAAAGUAGUAGUAUAUGAAGCAAUGUGAAUUAAAGAGGCAAUUGGAUCUGUUUAACGUCUGAGAUUUUAUCCCCUUUUGUCUGCUUUGAACAUCUUUAGCUCAAUUACACUGAAAGAGGAAGGGGAGGAGCUUAAACAGGAGAGAGAUGAGAGAAAAGGGAGCUGGUAGAGAGUAGGAUAAGCAUGUGAGGGGAUGAAAAGGCCAUCAUGAUCCUAGUUUUCUUUCUUAUUCAAGUAAUACUCAAUAUUCUUCAUAAACAGCUACUCUUUCCUCCUUUAAAUAGGUUCAUGCAGCCGCUUGAUAAACUCCAAUGAUGACUUUUUGUAUAAGAAAUAUGCUAAACAGCACGAGUUAAAUGCCUUUUGCUGGUGGCAUGCCAGCAUAGGACUAGCUCGGUUUGUGAUUUAUGCCAUGCCAGUGCUUGGCACGCCUGGCAUAUGCUAGAGUUGCAACAUCCAAGUAUUGGCAUGCAAAUGAUAACAUGCCAGUGUGUUGCACGCAGCAUCUCAUGCCUAUGCCAACUGGCACUCAAAUUCUAUGCUAAACAUAAGUAGCCAACUAAGAUCUAUACUUAAAGUGGAAAGUUAAGCACUUGUUAUUUUUCCUGUUUGAUUCCUUUAUUGCUUUUUAAAAUUAUGAUAUGAUGACUCCUUUUUGAUUCUUUAAAAGGAUAAUAUCCAAGAUGAUUUUAUUGCAUAAACUAGACAUUUUUGGGAGUUUAUGGCAUCUGAACUAAAUCAGCUAAAAGAGCUGAUACUUCCUAAUGCCCAAAAGUCUCCUAACAUGACUUCUAAUAAAAUCAGAAUACAUGGGGUUCAAUUAAGCUGUUCGAAGAUGAUUUGGAGAAGGAAAUGUACUAUAACUGAAGUGAACAAAGAUGAAUUGGAGAAGGAAACAUGGGGUUCAAUUAAGCUGUUCAAAGCCUUAGUUGCUUUCCUUGACCAACAAGGCUAGCUAAGGGCUUCAUGGUUUUGGUUUGGUUUUUUUCCCCUUGACCAGCAAUGGCCAGACAAGGCUCUAUUAGUAUUGGGUUUGGUUCUUGGCUAUUUUUGGCCUUGCCAAUUUGCUUUCACUGCAUGCAGCCACUGCACACGGGAUUGUCCUCAAUUUUGUUUGGGUGACUGGGUUGGCUUCCAACGUGGAUAUAGACCCAAUAUGUGCCUUCACCAUGAUUAGGUGCAAUCAUCCUGGCUAAGCCCAAUUCAAAACCGGCAUUCAUAUGGAUACUAUAACUGGACGUUGGCUGUAGAAGCCAGUAUUACCGGAUUAUAUGAUAUAUCCAGUUUACUUCUAGCCUACUUAACCAUUUCUCUCUUAAUUCAAGUUUGGAUCUUGCCUGAAGUUUGAGAUCUCAAUAUCUAUCAUGAAUCAGUGAGUCAAAUAGGGGAAAACAGGUUUCAAUGCUUUCUUUUUCAAAAUUGUAAAUGUGAUUAUUUUGAAAGAGAAUUAUUUAUCUUCUAAGUAAGACACAACUGCAUGCAUCUACACACAAGUCAAUGCAAGAUUCAACUUUUUCUCCUUUUUUUUUUGGGUGAGGGGUUGAGAAAAGAAUGCCCCUAAUUUCUCCAGCCAAGAAUGUGGAAAUUGUGCAAGGAAGAAUCCCUAGUUCAGUUUUGGUCUGUUCUUAGCAAGUGACAAUGUCUAUAUCCCCCAAUCAUGUCAUUUUUUUGAAUGAAAAACUAAUUAAUAACCUCAUUUCGGAAGACCAAUAUUACAAAUCUCCCAAAUAAUUGUUCUAAACCUUUAAUCUUCUGUAUCAUUCAUUUUGUGUCACAUUAGGUGAUAAUUUACAUUUUCUCAACAAUCUGAAUAAAUUUAGCCCCACAAACAAUAUUGGCAUGAUCUUUUGUAUCCUUCUUUUCGACUUAUUUGUUCAAAGAACUUUGAGUUGCUUUAAGAUGAAAGGCAUCUGGAUCUACAUUCUUCUAGAGCUAAUCAAUGUGUCACAACUGGCAAAAGUGUAAGUACCAAUAUGCAUAAACAAACAAGUUUGUCAACUGGUGCAGGUCAUGCAGAUGAAAUGACAAUAAUGUAUGACAAUCCUGCUUGACCUACUGUGCCUUGCCCCUCCAUAAGCAUUGGUGUUGGCUGCAAUCAGAUAUUUCAAAUGAAAUAUACAACCGGCAUUUUUCUAUAUAUGAAAAACUUAUCUAAUUGCUACAUAGAUUGAGAAUGUAUGGUUUACUAUUCUAAUUCCUUUGGUCCAGUGUCCAAUGAGCAAUCCGAGUAACACUGGACUCACACUUGCUCUUGUAGUGAUUUAAUAUUGACCUCUCCUUCAAUUUAAUAAUGAAGAAAAAGAGGCCUUUCUCCAUGGUAGGCAAGGUUUUAAAUCCCACGGCACGGGGCUGUUUCAAUUUUUUUAUGGAACGGGACGCACCGCCAUCUCGCCUUGUCUCAAAAUUUGGGACAAAGGAUGUUCUAAGAUGUCCCGAUUAGGAUGCUGGGAUUCUAGUGGGACAGUCUUGUCCUGACAUAUAAGAUGGUAUCCUAUCCCGAUGUCUCGCCGGACGUCCCGUUGGGACCUGAAUCCUUGAUGGUAGAGUAAAAAAUGAAGUCUUUAGGAAUAAGGAUGUGGUUUCUAUCAACAUGAUCGAUCUACUGACGUUUGUUUGCUGAAAAGAGCUUUAGUGGUUUUAAACAUGAUCUUAGACACUGUUUGGAUGAAUCUUCAAUGCUUUUAAAUAGCAUGUAUCCAAGAAUCCAAGUUGAUGACUAUUGUUUUUGUGUUUUUGCUUGAAAUCUUACCAUAUUAUUUAUUUAUGUUGUAUGUCAUCAAAUUUGAAAUGAAUGGUUAAAUAUCCCAUCAUAAGUGAAACUUAAUCAAAGAAUCAAUGUUUUUGAGAAGACAUCAAAUAAUUAAUGUAAAACUCAAUUUUUCUCAGUGUAACUUUUUGGGUGUUUUUAUUAUGUUCUUUAUCAAUCUAAAUAUAUUGAUGUAACUUAAUAAGUUUGAACUUCAUAUCCAUGCCUAUUUCACUAGAUUUAGUUAUUUGAGCAUUUGCUUUUAUGAAGUGGAUCUUUCUGGGAUCCUGCAGUAUCUAAAGUGUGCUUGGUGGAUUACAGUAUCUAUCCUUUACUAGAUUGGACAUAUGUUCUGCUUUAAAUAAGAUACAAUAUUCAUCAGUUAUGAUGUAAAUAAGAUGCAUCAUUCUUCUUCUGCCUUAGGUAUCUCAUCAUCAAGCAGUAGAAUGCAUCCUUUGCUAUCUCAACUGGAACAUGUCUUGGAGUCCCAUUUAAAGAUUUUAUGUUUGGCGGAAAUUUGAUUUUAGAUCAUCAUUUUGGGCCAAAUUGAAUUUUUUUUGGGUUAGUGGUUUUGGCAAACGGCAGUGGAGGUCGACUGCUAAUUUUAUUUUUUUAGUGAUUAGAGAUAUUUAUGGUUAUUUAUUCAUUUCUAUGUUUAUUUUGGUUUAAUUUUUUGGAUUAUUUCUUUGUUUCAUUUAGUCAAGGCUCAAGACUAAGGAGCUUACUCAUGGGUUAUAAUUUUUCAAUUUUUGAGAAGAGUUUUCUUAGCAUUAUUCUCAAAUGUUGCAAGUUUUGAAUUAGAAUCAUUUGAGUGUCUGACUUCAAGAAGCUUAAGAAAAUUCAAAAGUUUGAUAUAUGUUCAGGCACUCUCAGAUAUUUUACAAGUAAUUGAGAAUAUGUUUUUGUAGCUGGCCCACCAAAAAUUAGCUUAAUGAGUUUUGAGCUUGGCUUUGUUGGGUUUAAACUCAAAUGUCUGAAGAAUUUUGAUUAUUAUGCAUUAAAAUGGUAGAUCUUGUUGUAUGAUGAUGCGAAACAUAAUUUUUAAGUUUUUUUUUUCUUCCAAUGUUUGAUAAUUUUGAUAUUUUUAACUUGGAACUGCUUAAAACAUGCGAUGAACAGCUGCAAAGAGUACAAUUUGCUCUUUGCAUGAUCCAGUGCUGUGUCACUCUUAAAUUUAUACCUCCACUUCUCAUUUACUCUUGACCCUUAAUUUUCUACAAAUUACAUGUUUCAAGAUUUUUUUUUGUUAUAUUUGUAUAUAAUCUGAGUCAAUAUAAAACACUGAAUUGAUAUGUUUUUAGUUUGAAUGGUCCAAUUGGUGAUAUGGCCUUCAGUUCAAUCUGAUGUGGAUUCUGAAUAAUCAAAAAAUCGUACUUCAUCAUGAUGAGGCUUGUUUCUGGCUCUCAUGUAGUUUCAUCCACCUUUUCGUUAUUGUUGUCUUGUACAGACUGUAUGGUUUUGCAUAGGUUGUUGGUGAGGUACUGAGGAAAUUAUUUUGUCUCCCUUGUUAUCAGCAAGCAUGUUAAUGCAAUUUUUAUGCACCACUAUCAGUCAUUCCAGAUUCUUCUGCUUUGUGUUAUUGGAGAUGACCAGGCACAACUUACUUCACCUCUACAUUAGUUAUAGUCUUGUGAUUUUAGGUGUGCAUUUAUGUAAUGAUUUCUGUGUUCCUUGUUGCUUGCAUUGAGCUCAUCAAGCCUAUUCUGGAUGCGUGGAUAUCUUAAUCUUAUGUUUCGCUCAAUUAUUUGGUAUUUCUUGAAACAAUAUCAACUGAUCUUUGCUGUUGCCUUGGUCACUGAGUUGCCAUUUUUUCAUUUCAUAGUGAUUUAUGUGGCAUCUCGUGCUCAUCUGGCUUAUCUCUGGUUUAGGCAUUGUUUGAUGCAAAGUGCAACGGCAAUAUUACUAACUCAUAUCUUAGUCUUCCCCACUUUUUUUUUCUUUUUUGUGUGUGCGCGUGAUACAUGUGUAUGUGAAAAGAUUAUAACUUAUUCCUCUCUUACACAGUCUAGAAGUAAAAUAUCAUGUGAUGUCAAUGUUUAUCAUUUUUUUUUUGAACUCGUCAUUUUACUUAGAAUAGGAAGUACUUUCUUCACUUUCUUUUCAUCUUUGUGAUUUUUGGAGUGCCAUCCAAAGUGCUGCAACCUGAUCUCAAAUAAUGUCAACUGUGGAAGAAUGAGGUUUUUGACUUUUUGCAGUCUUUUGAGGCACUCUGGAAUUUGGAUAUCAUGGACAAAAUAGUGGCAUUUCAUGCUCUGACCCUACCGACAUCAUGUUUAUACCAUCAUUGGUUUGAACUGAUUUUGAGCUAGCAACAUUUAGUAGAUUAUUAUUGAAAGUUGAGUCAGAUUAAGUUCUGUUGCGCUUCUUCAAAGAAGUCUGAAAAACUUGCAUUAUAAUGAGUCAUCGGUCAAGCUGUCCAUCAAGAUGCUUGAUACCAACACAAAUAAUUGAUGUUGUUAUCAAGCAGAUAUAGGUCAAUUGCAAUUUGAUUCUUAUAUAGGGACGAACAUUUGGAGUUUAAAGUUUGCUUGACCAUUAACACCGUGAUCUUCUUACCCUUCAACUAUGAGAUCCCCUCCUUAUAAAGUCUAUAUCUCCAUUUCCUUUGUUUCUUUAGUUUUAAUUCUAAGCCUCGUUUGAAGAUCUUGAUUUUAGGUGAAUCACUCCUGAAGUGCUGAUUUUAACAAACAUUUGCCUUAGCAUCUUUAUUUAUUCUAAGCUUAUCUUAUGCAUUUAUAUUUGUUUUAUUCUAACAACAAAUAUAUGGAUCACUAUUCUUUGAUUUCCAAUUUGUUUUUUGAUGAUUGUAUAAUGCGUUGUCAUUUAUUUGCUAUAUCCAUCCUGCUUUCAACAUGUUGUAGACAUCCCUUUCUUUGUCUCCAUCCAAGGUAGCAGAAACUUUUCUGCAUAUCACUUGCUCGCAAUUUCAACUAUGCUCCAACUUCUCAGUCCACCAUACUCCCCAUAAAGUUGUAUCAUGCCCCCUAUUUUGAAUUUUGGCUAAAUUUAAAAACUUUUGGACUGUUUCUAAUGUUCCCACUUAAGUUUCAUCCUAUCUCAAGGCACAUAUUUGCAAAUUUGCAUUUGCAAAUAACAUACCUAAUCACCUCUACUUGGUGCAUAUUUGAAACAAGUGAAUAAUUGUUUCUCACCGGCGGCAUCAAUGAUUCGAAUCUGAAAGGUGCUCCUGAAAGAAGAAAGCUAUAAAAGUACAUGGCCUCUUCCAUGCAAAGUGUGCUUAUGUAUUAAGGUAGUUGGUCUGCAUUAUGGCAUUAUAUAUUUGUUGAUUGAAAUUUGUAACAUUGAAAGUGAAAUUGUAUAAUUUCUUGCUCAAAUAUUUAAGAAAAAAAAAUAAAGCUAGUAUGAAUGUUAAUAUAAAUUGCUCUGGUUGAUAAGCUAUUUUAUUCAGAUGAAAUGUUUGAGUCAAGUUGAUCCAUCAUAUAGUGAGUGGAAUCAACAUAUUAUGAUCUGUUGAUGAGUCGAACUGUUUAGAUUUGCUUUCUAAGCUUCAUUUCUUUAUUGCUUCAGCUUGAGAGAAACUAUUGAAGAUUAUGUAGUCAAAUUAUUAUAUUUCAAGUUUUCAACACUGCUGUUGACUGCCUCCUUCAAGGCACUGUAUGCACUUGCACCAUGUUUAAAAACCAUUCAAUUUAGGAUUAUUUUUAAGAAGAAAUUAAUGUUAAGAAAGCAAUUUGUGAACUUUGUUACUAAUCUGUUGCCUUUUUUUGUUGCAUUUCAUUAUAUAUAAUAAGGUGCACGCAUAUUACAUAUUAAAAUGUGAAGGGUAACAUGUUUCAAAAUUUUGUAUAUGGAUAAAGAAGUUUAUGAGCUUCUUGAGAAAUAGAAAUCCAGAGUGAUAGGUUGAUAUAUGUUUGUUACCUCAAACAGGACUAUCUUUUCUAGUGGAAGCCAAAGGCAAAAUAAAAUAUAAAAUCAGAAAACAAGAUAAGGGUAAUAAACUGCAAGAGAUUGAACCUAAUUGAAUUAAUUGAAUUGACAAACUAUUUGGCAUACAAGUAAACAGUUCGAGAUUCACUAGUCUAUUUACAAGUUUUAGGGCAGGUUAGACCUUUCCAUCAGGCACAAGUUCCUAGUCAUAAGGUACAUGGGUUUUGUUUAGGAUGAAGCUUGAUAUGGCAGUUGCUCUGUGGCCCUGAAAGUAUGUGCAAGAGAGAUUGUCUUCGUUCCAGACUUUCCUUUUAUACCUAAUUCACUGCAGUAACCAUUACUUAAGCAGUUGCUCUCAGGUAAUACUUGCAAUGGUGAAUUAGUUAGAAGAGCUAACCUCCUUGAAGUUCAACUUGUGCCCCAUGCCUUCUUUGCGGAUAACCAUUCUUCUAAAAUGAGCAACUUUAAGAAGUACAUGACAUCCAGUAGUUGACCUAGAAGUUUAUGGUGAUAUGAUCACAAUUAUCAUUUGACAUGUGGCCUUAUUUCUUUUUGUUCUAAUGGUAAGGGGGAACAUAUGCCCCCCUCUUUGGAUAUUUAUAUUGUUGAACUUUUCAUAGUCUAAAACCACUAUAGUCAUUGGAAUUAUUUAAUUGCAACAGUUAGCCAACGCUGCCAUUUUUCCUUCCAAAUAAUCUUUUUCUUGUUGGGUUUCAGUAGGAUAUUUUGAAAAUAUUCAUAACAAUAGUUCUAAUGUUGUUAGAAUUCUGCUUUAUGUACACUUCUUUUUUUGCCUUUACCCUUAUCUUCAUCUUCAAUGUGUCUUGCUCAUCCUCAAUCUAAAAUCCUAGAUUUCUGGAGCUUGAUUUCUAUUGUCUCUAGUCUUCUCUCAAUCUUCCAUUAGAUAUAAACAUGGUCCUUGCUGUAACAAUGUUGAAGUAAGAUGAACUCAUGCAAUCCCUUGACUUCAGCCUUGUGGUCUUUGCCUUAGAAUGUUUAUCCCAUAAUUGGCCUAGGCAACAUUUGCAUUCUUGGAGGUGAAUCACUCUAGGCACAGAUAGAUUCUCUUGAGUGGACUGGCCAAGACCAAAAGCUUUCUACUUUGCCUCAUUGUUCUGGUGACUAGGAAGAAUAGAUCAAGUGAAUGGGGGCUAACAGUGAAGCUCGGUAAAAUGCUAGAUUGUUUGAAUCCAUUCAACUUUCAAGGUACAAGAUCCCAAUUCCUUUUCUUUUUCAAAUUCUUCUUAGUUGAUCAUAUUCAAUAGUCAACCAGCCAAACCAAGAGAUUGAGGAAGAAAGAAAGGUAUGGUCAAUGUUGAGAAAUAUUGGUCCUAUCAUUAAUUUAUUAGGUAGCUUAUAUACAGAACUAAAUUUUCAUGCCUAUGCACAAUCUGCCAUUGCUCUUCUUGGGGUUGCCAUCAGGGAGUAGCCUUAAGAACUGACACUUAUGGCUUGAGAUGACCUUGAUAGCAAUAGGAAAAGUUGAUUUUGUGUUAAGUCGUUAACCUUCAGUCUUUAAUGAUGAUUCACCUCCAUCAAGAUUAAUGCCUGGCCCUCAGUUGUCCAAGGGAACAACCAUCUUGAAUAGAGAAUCCGACAUCUAAGUCUAGAACAUUGGUAGAAAUAUUUGCAAUUGUUGAAAGGAAAAGUUCCAAAGGAAUUCCAUUCAUUAAUGAGAUCCCAUCUUUUAAAAUAGAUAAUAAACAAGUACAUAAGGAAAGAAGUACAAAUUUGGAAGGCAAGUACAUACCAUGUUUCGAGAUAUGCUAAGCUUAGAGACAUACUAAAUAUGUCCUUCCUAUAUAAGGACUUAUUAAAUAAGCAUAAUUCUAACACCCUCUCAAGUUGGAGCAUAUAUAUCAAACAUGCUCAGCUUGUUACACAGAGAGUUGAAUAUAUCAAAAGAUAGAGAUUUAGUCAAAAUGUCAACUAACUAUUUGGAUGAUAGAGUGAAUAGUGUUAUGAUGGUCUUGUUUAUCAUAGCAUCUCUUUGAGGGUGUCCUAUAUUUGUUUAGCCGUCUUCAGGAACAUGACACCAGCACUAACUUUUUCCUCUGUGCUAUUCAACAACCAUGACAUAACACAAUAGUCAUUAGCCAGCCAGUUGUCAUAGGAUCUUUGGAAUUUGGAGGAUCUUCAGUCAGGUGUUGCGCCUUUCAUGGACACCAAUAAAUAGUUUGAAUGAUUGGAUCCAGAAAAAGUAGUGCCAUUGAGCUUUACCGUAGUCACUGUUAAAUUCUUUAUCACAGUGUCAGAACUGGAGGUUAGAAGUAUCGAAAGUUGUUUGUUGUCAUAAUUUAAGGACGCCAUAGUAGCCAGAGAGGAGGAUAGAAACAAUCAAAUGACCAGAUAGUAAAAGAGGAAAGGAAGGAUAUCUUCACAUGGUAGCCAGAGAAAUCAUGAGCAAUGUACUGCUUCUGUGAUUAGUAGAUAGUCAGCAAGACAGCCAAAGGACUUUUGCAUGGCAUAGAAAGGAACCUAUGUUGAUUUGUCUAAGAACAGAUUGCUCCUCGGGAUGCAUAGAGGGUCUCUUAGCCAAUCUUGUAGAAUCACAAGCAGAUUUCUGCAAACAGUGAACAGAAAUAUUAAUUAGACCUCCAAGAUGGCAAAUGAUGGAUUGCUAUAGUAUGAAUAUAUUGAUUUCAAGACUGCAGUAGUAAAGAUCCAGCAAGGACAAAAAUCUGAAGUCCUAGGUGGCGGCUAGGAUUCUAGCAAGAACCAAAGGCAACUGUCGCCAGAGAUCUCUAACGAUGGAGGAAGAGGGUGAUGAAGAAGGCUGACGAGGACAUGGGAAGUGACGGCGGCGGUGGUUUAAAAAGCUUUGAGAAGGGAGGAGACAGGUAAGAUUUUUGAGAAGGGAGUUGGAACCUUGGUGCGGCUAGGGCUUUGAAGGUUGCCGGAGAAGAGGAGGGGUUGUUGCGGCAAGGGUUGCUGUGGCCUGUUGUGGAGGAAGGAGGGGCGGCAGAGGGCUAGGGUUGUGGAGAGGGUGCCGCAACCGCUCUGAUAUCAUGUUGAAAGGAAAAGCUCAAAAGGAAUUUCAUUCAUUAAUAAGAUCCUAUCUUUUUAAAUAGAUGAGAAACAAGUAUAUAAGAAAAGAAGUACAUAUUUAGAAAGUAAGUACAUACAAUGUUUAGAGAUAUACUAAGUUUAGAGACAUACUAAAUAUGUCCUUUCUAUGUAAGGACUUAUUAAAUAAACAUAAUUCUAACAGCAACCUUAGCACCUACAUCUCUUGCCUUACAACUUUGCACCUUAGCUGCCUAAAUGAAUCUUAAAGUAGCUUGACCAAUUGGUAAUUCCCACAAAACAUAAAGAAGCAAUGAGGAAGAAGCAUCAUUUUUCAAGGUUGUCAAAAAUUUCUCCUUUAGCUGUUCAUCUAGACAUCAAUGAGAUGACUGUUCAGCUUCUAUCACCAAGAAUUUAGGAAAAAGUGGUAAGUUUGUCUUCCCCUUCCAAGUUUUCUUCUUUGCCAUAGAAAUGUUCCUAGAUUGAUUUCACUUUCAUCAUUUUGUGUUCCUAUCAGCUUUUCAUUUUUCCUAUUUUAUUCUACAGUAAUUUUCUUUGUUUUAAACAUAUGUAUAGGCAUUGAUGUCUUUCUGAUUUGUGGAUCAAUCAAUCGUGGUCCCUUUUGCAUAAGUUGGGGCAGAAGCUUCUCUAGUCCAAUCAAUAAGCCAUUACUUGAACCAAUUCAUACUGAGAAGACUAUAGCUCAAAACAUUAAAGACCCCAUCCACAUGCUUGUGGUGACAGAUCAAGCGAUCAUGGAAUAGAUGAAGGCACAAAAUAUCGGGCAUUCUCCAGCUAACCAAAGUAUCAAACUAUUUUUCGUUGAGUGAUUUCAUAGAGUGAUAUUGAUGAUUACAUAUAGUGGCUUCCAUCACUUCUCCUGCUAUAACUCGGGUCUGUCUACUCUAAUAUGGAUUGUUGACUUCAUUCCCUUCUAUCUUUCUGAUGUCAUCCAAGGAAACCAUUUCUCAUAGCACAUCCUUGGGGUCUUGAGCUUAACGUCUUUGGUUUCCUAGUCGACUAGCUCCAUUUUGUUUGAUGAUCCAAUUCCAUUUCUAGUGACUGAAGGAGUCUCUCCUUGGUGAGGUUGAAUUGUUGGCAGCCUAUUCUUUGUUCACUCAAGCUCCUCGACCUGCUUAAGCCUCAAUCUCAACUUCAUCAACCACCAUAACUGAAGAAGCUUGAAAGAUUAUGAAAGAGAUGAUGACCCUAGACUUCUUCAUGUAUACCUGGACAGUCUAUUUAGCCUAAAGUACCUGUACUCAACACUUAAACAUGGACUUCUAUAUGACUCUCGGACAUGGCUCUAUAAGAAGACAUUCUUAGAUAUUGACAGGAUCCAAUGCUUGGACUUGAACUAACACCUAAUACAAGAACUCGUGUCCAUGUACCAAGCCAACAUAUCUGAGCUGAAUUUGAACUUUUCAUUACAUCAGCCUCUGUAUUGUUAACUUCUUCCAAUUUGACCACUCUCUAGAUUGAGUGCCUAUGAGAAUGUAUCCGACUCAUCCCUUCCUUGGCAAAGAUCCUCCAUCAUUUCAAAACUACUUCCAAACACCUUGGUGAUCUUCAAGCCACCAAGGAUCGAGACUUUUCAAAGUUGGUGGAGAAUGAGAGGAUUUAUAAUGAAUUAGACAGCUUUUCUUGCCAAAUCUAAGGGGAGAAAGGAUUCUCUAGAUUUGGAAGUAGACCAAAACAACAUUCAAGCCUUGUAGGUGAAAAGUUGUUUAAGACAAGAAAAGAAAUAAGAAUACUAGUUAACAGUUUUCCAUCAACCUUUUGUCAUGGAGGAAUGAAAAUAAGCCCUAGAACCUCAGGAUUGCAUUAGUCUUUUGAUUGAUUCUUUCGCUAUGGUACCAAUUGCCAUGAUUUGUAAAUUUGAACUAUAAAACUCAAGAUAGGACUUCUUUGCCACAAUGGAGCUGAUGAUAAACAAGUUCUUCCCAUUCUCCAGUGCCCAUGACCAAAGUAUUCAUUCAUCAUUUCAAUCACUUGUCCCUUAUUAACCAGAAAUACAUGGCCACUAGGUCUAGCCUGAUAUCAAAUGAUUUCUCUUUCUUUGUUGUUAGAAUGCAGUGCAACAAUAAAGUUGCUCCAUUAUCACCUAGGCGUCAUGGAUUAGAAACACGGAAAUAGUCUUUCUGCAUGCGGGGGUAAGGCGGCGUUCAUUUGACCCUGCCCAAACACUGCAAUGAUGGGAGCUUGAUGCAUUGGGAUGUCUUUUUGUAUUUCUCCAUUAUUGUUAAAAUCUUAUGAUUCAAAAUAUGGAUCUUAUGAUCUGGAUUAAAAGCACUAAACAAUCCGGAUCCCAUCCAUGUAUCGGGAUCAAUUUAGGAUCAUAAGAUUCAAAUCCAUAUGAUGUACUAUACAUUCCUUUGGAUGACAAGAUUCAAUUUUAUUAUGUUAUUUACAUAUUAAAUCACAUGCUGAGCAUAUGAUUUUUAAAAUACUUAUUGAUAACAAGGUUUGCCAAAUUGGUGCUGGCAGGGUACAGUAUGGGUUCGUAUUGUGCCAUUCCAGGGCCUACCAAAGCAAAGAGAGGGAGGAGUUAGAGGGAGGGAGGAGAAGAGGGUUGACUCACUUGGUCUUCAUCGGUUAGGUUUUCGAGAAUGGAGCUUCUUCGGGAGGAGACUUCCUUCGAAAUCUUAAGAUAGAGUGUCAUGAGGGACCAAGGGAGAGAAGGGGGUAGAGGGAGACACUAGAAGCCCUAGUAUGGGGAUCGAGGGGGAGAGGGAGUGUCGACUCACAUGGGCUUUGUUGAUUAGGGCUUCGGGCAUGUAGCUUCAUUUGGAUGGAGCUUUCCUUCUUCCAAAUCCUGGGACAAAGCAUCGUGAUCGAUUGAAGAGGCUUAAAAAAGAAAAAUGGUCAAACUAGCUAGUUCGGCAACCCCCGAUUGAUAAUAAAUCUCAAAUAGUACAACUAGCAAGUUUAUGGUUGGAGUUUGUAGAGCCAAAAUAACAUGCAGAAUUUUUAUAUUUUUAGAGCCAUACCCAUGUUUAUUCUAAAGCAUUCUACAUAAGAGGAUAAUUAAAUUGAUUGAUAGUAUAAAAACUACUUAAAUAAUUAUAG
This is a non-coding RNA of Elaeis guineensis (African oil palm), 16683 nucleotides long. NCBI's taxonomy places the organism in Eukaryota, Viridiplantae, Streptophyta, Magnoliopsida, Arecales, Arecaceae. The record is from RefSeq and is a predicted model, not a curated record.